GGGGGGGGGUGGGGGGGGGGCGGGCGCAGGCAAGGCGGGGGGAGGGGGGGGGCUGGCGCCGGGGUUCGGCGGCGGACGGGUGGGUAAUGCCUAGGAAUCUGCCUGGGAGUGGGGGAUAACGUCCGGAAACGGGCGCUAAUACCGCAUACGUCCUGAGGUCGAACGUGGGGGAUCUUCGGACCUCACGCUAUCAGAUGAGCCUAGGUCGGAUUAGCUAGUUGGUGGGGUAACGGCCUCCCACGGCGACGAUCCGUACCGGGCCUGAGAGGAGGAUCAGUCACAUUGGAACUGAGAAACGGUCCAGAGUCCGACGGGGGGAAGCAGUGGGGAAGUUUGGAGAAUGGGCGAAAUCUGGAUCCAGCCAUGCCGUGUGGGGGAAGAAGGUCUUCGGAUUGUAAAGCACUUUAAGUUGGGAGAAAGGGCAGUAAGUUAAUACCUUGCUGUUGUGACGUUACCAACAGAAUAAGCACCGGCUAACUUCGUG
RNAcentral lists this ribosomal RNA (484 nucleotides) under uncultured bacterium. RNAcentral describes it as "partial 16S ribosomal RNA". It matches the Rfam family "Bacterial small subunit ribosomal RNA", at positions 38 to 507 of the family's 1533-position model. The record is from RNAcentral.